RNAcentral lists this ribosomal RNA (406 nucleotides) under uncultured bacterium. RNAcentral describes it as "partial 16S ribosomal RNA". It matches the Rfam family "Bacterial small subunit ribosomal RNA", at positions 30 to 526 of the family's 1533-position model. The record is from RNAcentral.
AUUGAACGCUGGCGGCAGGCCUAACACAUGCAAGUCGAACGAGUGGCGGACGGGUGAGUAAUGUCUGGGAAACUGCCCGAUGGAGGGGGAUAACUACUGGAAACGGUAGCUAAUACCGCAUACCAUCGGAUGUGCCCAGAUGGGAUUAGCUAGUAGGUGGGGUAAAGGCUCACCUAGGCAACGAUCCCUAGCUGGUCUGAGAGGAUGACCAGCCACACUGGAAUUGGGACCCGGUCCAGACUCCUACGGAAGGAGGCAGUGGGAAAUAUUGCACAUGGGGCGCAAGCCUUAUGCAGCCAUGCCGCGUGUAUGAAGAAGGCCUUCGGGUGGUAAAGUACUUUCAGCGAGGAGGCGUUACUCGAAGAAGAAGCACCGGCUAACUCCGUGCCAGCAGCCGCGGUAAUAC